This 527-nucleotide long non-coding RNA is filed under the name Erythranthe guttata (spotted monkey flower). RNAcentral describes it as "long non-coding RNA (EGUT_LNC000961)". The record is from RNAcentral. Lineage: Eukaryota; Viridiplantae; Streptophyta; Magnoliopsida; Lamiales; Phrymaceae.
CUAGAUACUAAAAGAAAAAUAUUAAAAAUUCUAGAUUUCAAAGAUGUACUCGUGAGGAGUACGUAAAGAACUUAUGAAUGAAUCACUAUCUUGAUCAUUCUUACAACCAAGUCUAGAAACAUAUAUACUAGACAAUCUAGACUACAAAGAAUGUACUUAUUAGAAGUACGUAAAGAAUGUACUCAUAAGGAGUACGUAAAGAAUGUACUCACGAAGAGUACAAACAACCGAUUCUAAAACCUAACUAAAACACUCGUGUAUUCUCUUCAGCCCUCGGUUUUUUAUUUCGUAGAAUCGAUCAAUUUCCUUGAGUCUUGAAGUCGGUAUUUAUAGACAUUCCAAGCUUCCACUACUCAGCCCAUGAUCUGCAAGAAAACCAACCACAAGAGCACUCAAGAAAAUGGGUUAGUGGGUUAGUUUAAGGAGUUAGAAUAAUAUUCACAAUUAAACCCACUUAAGCACUACUUAACCCACUAACUACUAUACUUAACCCACUAAGCACUACUUAUUUAAUAAUUAAAAUUUAG